UGAAAACUGAAACUACCUUUCCUACAGU
This 28-nucleotide small RNA is filed under the name Bombyx mori (domestic silkworm). Its description in RNAcentral is "ovarian small RNA-30337". The record is from RNAcentral. Lineage: Eukaryota; Metazoa; Arthropoda; Insecta; Lepidoptera; Bombycidae.